This 529-nucleotide ribosomal RNA is filed under the name uncultured bacterium. RNAcentral describes it as "bacterial SSU rRNA". It matches the Rfam family "Bacterial small subunit ribosomal RNA", at positions 980 to 1509 of the family's 1533-position model. The record is from RNAcentral.
CUUGACAUCCAGAGAAUUUAGCAGAGAUGCUUUAGUGCCUUCGGGAACUCUGAGACAGGUGCUGCAUGGCUGUCGUCAGCUCGUGUUGUGAAAUGUUGGGUUAAGUCCGCAACGAGCGCAACCCUUAUCCUUUGUUGCCAGCACGUAAUGGUGGGAACUCAAAGGAGACUGCCGGUGAUAAACCGGAGGAAGGUGGGGAUGACGUCAAGUCAUCAUGGCCCUUACGAGUAGGGCUACACACGUGCUACAAUGGCGCAUACAAAGAGAAGCGACCUCGCGAGAGCAAGCGGACCUCAUAAAGUGCGUCGUAGUCCGGAUUGGAGUCUGCAACUCGACUCCAUGAAGUCGGAAUCGCUAGUAAUCGUAAAUCAGAAUGUUACGGUGAAUACGUUCCCGGGCCUUGUACACACCGCCCGUCACACCAUGGGAGUGGGUUACAAAAGAAGUAGAUAGCUUAACCUUCGGGAGGGCGUUUACCACUUUGUGACUCAUGACUGGGGUGAAGUCGUAACAAGGUAAGCGUAGUGCU